UUUUUAUAAAUUUUAUGUAUAAAAGCGAUGCAAACCUAAAUUAGGUCAUCCCCUAUUCUUUGUAUCAUUGUUUCAUUCUAUUACGUUAUCAGCGCCUAGCCGCCACAAGGCAGGAACUUCAGCUACGUUUAUAUGGAUCUUAUUUAUCUUUUCUUUCAAUUUUUGACUCUAUAUAUUAUGUUUUCGUAUAAAUAUUCUGAAUUAUGUCUUUUUUACAUAUAUAGGUAGUUUUUCCUUAUUAAUUUUGGUUGCAAUGUUUUUAUUUAUUUUUUUAAGUUUUACCGCUAACUUGACCAUUUACUACUCGCUGACAAUAUAUAGUAUGUUUAUAAUUAUGUAAUACCAGCUCAAUUCUCUCCACAUGUAACAUGGAAAAAAAAAACUAAAGAAUAUGAACUCAAUCCUUCAGAAAAACAUAAAAAAAAGCGGUUUUUGGAAUACAAGCCAUAAUGAACAGUCUACAUCCUGAGAUCAAGUCAAGAAUUGAAGAGUUACAAGUGACCGCUAUAGAACAAGCGAUUCAAAAGAUAUAAAUGCCUUUGAAAGGAAGCCACCCGUAACAUUCAUAAGCAAAAUACAUGAAAUAUGUCACGCAAAAAAGAGGGAUGACGAGCCCUAUACAACAAUUCGCCAACCGUUUAAACCACUUUUCUAGUCUAAUAGAAGAACAGUGCACAAUUAAAAGCCUGCUACCUCAUAAUAGCGAAAUUACGAACUUACAUAAAAUCAAAGCUCUCACCCACAGGGUCGGAAAAGAAUUUAAAGACGACGCUAUAUCACUGGAACAAUAUUACAAAAAUAAUCCAGAAAAUUUGGAUUACAGUUUGCACUGAAUGCCUUAUUACUAGCGGAAAACAGGCAUAAAGUUGAAAACGAUCCGAAUGCCUUACCCCUAGAUACAUCCCGUAUUCAAUAAACUUACAUGGAAAACAGAUUUCCAAAUUCAUUAAAGGUCGAGCGCCAUCCUGUAAAGAUUGUUAAGGCCGACUUUAAGAUCUCAAUUCCCAUACCUUAAGCAAAAUGCAAAUUUUAUAAAAUAAUUAGCCACACUGAAAAGGCAUGGCCUACUAAGAAAUAGCACAACUUGAAUUAUAACUCCGAAAAAUUCGAACCCAGGGAUAAAGAUGGUUGUUGACAUUGGGGCCUAUCCUCAUUUGAUCAAAGAAAGAGAGCUAUUGACUGAUAUCCGAUGUAAUGAACACGUUAUUAAUACAAUAAUGAUAGCACUGAGACUUACCAAACCGGUAUUUUUAAUUUUAGAUUGGUAAAGCUAUUUAUGAGAAAAAUUUCAAACAUAACCUGAGCUUUUUAGGUAAAUUAAAUGAAAAGGAUUUAUUAUAUGUUUUAAAAAGAAUAGAGUUUUUAUUAAUAAUAGAGACAAAGUUAUUGCUCAAGGUAGAUAAGGAAAUGGCUUAUUUCUUAUAAACGGUCAUAGCUACAAUAAUACAGCAACAACCACGAUGUCUGAUACCAUGAAGUCCAAGUCCGUUUUUCCUAGAGGACACUUCAAGUACGGGCGUAUUAGCUAUCCUUAUUUGAAAAGAAUUUUUCCUGGUAUAUCAUUUUAAAAAUCAAUAAUGGGACAAACCGUCAAUUGAGGGGCGCAAGUAUGUUAUAAUCGCAAGGGUGCUAGAUCUAAACGAGUCACCACUAUCUUUGCGAAGUCUAAACAUAAAAUAAAAAAAUCUAAUUAUUCAAAGGGGUAGAAGACCCAAUAAAUACAUAAAAAAUUUAAAAAUAAAUGGAACUACGGCAGCUGCUGUAUUUGAGGGAAAUAAGAACCGAUAAGGGCAGUGAUUCCGUUAAUGAUAAACUUGUCCAAGAACUACUUGUCCACAGUACCUAAGGACACACUGCAAUAUAGCUGAGUGAAAGAAUCAGUCAGGCGUUACGUAGCAUGACACGUUGCAUACUGAAACAGUCCAAGUAACCAGAAGUGUUCUGGAGCGAAGUUUUACGAGACGCGGUCUCCACAUUAAACAUUGUGCCAAAAAAGGAUGAAAAAAGUCGCCUAUUAAAAUUUUUGGAUUUCGAUCCCGUGGAUUAAGUUACUAUAAAUCUCUAGACUUUAAAAUUCCGUUAAAUGAUCCUGGAUUAAAAAAAAACCCCAAAAUCGGGCUCUAGAUGGCUUCUUUCCAAAUCGAUAGUUUUUGCUAAGGAUGAAUACACUAUACUUAAUUUAACAACGGAAAAAAUCGUAAGUUCUAAAGACAACUAUUUUCUGGACAUCUUUCACUUUGAUAUUGCUAAAUACCUCCUUUACUUUCUCUUAAAGUAUGACGAAGUUUUUUUUCAAGGACAACAACUUUCCAGUGCUACUACUGAUACUAAGUAUACAGCAAUAAUACGCAAAUGAAGUGAGGAUGAUUGCGUCACAAAUUUUUACAUUAUCCAAAUAGGGCUUUAUCGUAACAAGGACAAGUUGUUGCUUUUUUAGCGGUCUACCCGGCGAAUACUCCAAGUCAUUAAUAUCAUAUACUUUGAAUCUUAGUCUCCUGAUCAGGGCGCUGUUAUAGCGAUCCUUGAUAAGGAAUGAAAAAUGGCUAUACAGGUUGACAAGUAAAUACUUUGCUUGCUGCUGGGAUUGGUCGCCAGAGUAGACACGAAAAAAGAGAAAUAUUGAGAAGAGCAAGGUCCAAUGGCAUGUGUGCGGACACUGCCGACUGUAUGGUUCCUGCCGAAUUUAAGGAUGUUACUGUACUAGUUCUAGAUUUGGGUUAAAGUCCCAAGUUACCGUUGAUAGCGGCGCAAACCUUAAUAUACUCAAUGAUCAGCUUUUCUAAACUUUACUUUCUAAGCGAAAGCAAUCAUGAUUGACAAUGUAACCUUUGUAUACACAACUUAUAAAAAAAAAAGCAGUUAAAUUUUGAAUAUGGAACUGAAAGCCUAUAAUUGCAAGAAUGUUAAGGAUGGGGACUCACAGCAUCCCGAAUUCGGAUUAACUUUUACGACUACGACUGGUCCCAGCAUAAUUUCACCGGAACUUUAAAUAUCGUUCUGGAAAUAUGAAGGGUUUCAAGAACAUUAACGGCAGUGGCAAAAAAUAGGCACUUUAUUGUAAUAGUAAGCAAACUUGUCGAAGAUAUACUCCUGAUCUAUUUUUCUUUCUAAAUACUCUUUGGUCAAUGCUUUUUUAAUGAUCUGGAGGGUCCUUUCAGCAAUUUCAUUGGUGCCGAAUAACGGGGCAUAUGGUUGACACACUUCUUUGCGAAGGCUUGAUAGAACGCCCAUAUUAACCCUUAAAACUUGUACAAAUUCAAUCUUAAAGCAAAGAACUAGAAAUACAUUCCUUGUUUGAUCUCCUGAGAAGUUUAUAAGAUGUAUUCCCGUGAGCAAAGUUAAAAAUAAAUGAGCUCACUGUA
This is a long non-coding RNA of Zophobas morio, 3362 nucleotides long. RefSeq lists it as uncharacterized. Lineage: Eukaryota; Metazoa; Arthropoda; Insecta; Coleoptera; Tenebrionidae. The transcript has 6 exons. The record is from RefSeq and is a predicted model, not a curated record.